AGAGAAACGCGGGAGUGGUGGGGGAUGUGGGUUCCUGUGUGCUGAGCGGAGGAGCCGGGGUGGGGGCGGUGCAAGCGGAAGAAAGAGCCAAGAGAGCGGAAAAUCGGCUGGUGCUGUCGCCGCCCGAGUUUUGUGUUUCCACAGCUUUCCAGUUGGGUACAACGGAGCCGAACUCCGUGUUCCCGGGCUGGAGAGCCUUGGUGUCCCCGCCAACCCCCAGUAGGAAGCGAGCGCUGUAACAUGGGAGGCGUGGUCGCCACUGAUCUUGUCUCCCCCCAGAGCCUUCCUAAAGGCUCUGCCGCCACGAGACUGCACCACCGGGAAAGAAGUGUGUGAAAGUGUACUCCGUAAACAGGCAAUCCUGUACGCGACUUAGGGGCAGAAAGACCCUCCGCACUUUUAUCAUUUGAAAGUAAGGUGGACGAUUCCAGCCUGGUGUCCCUGAGGGUACACACAGGCCCCCCGCGCAGCCAGAGGUGACUCAGGAACCCCCCUUCCAACCCCUGCGUAGAACGCCGAACAGUCUUCGGAGAAUUCGCUUUCCUCCACGUGAAAAGGAAAAGAAAAACAUUUGAGGAGUCGCAGUAGUCACUUGUACUCCCCAAACACACGGGAAGAAGUUGAUCAGUUUGCAUGCUUGGAGUCAAAUUACGCUCAGCACAAAUCCAACGCCCCUGAAUUAAAUGAGCAGUAGAAGCUCUCUGCAAAAAACACAACAGUAUUUGUGACCCGGUAUUAUUUCAGGAGGUAAAAACAUCUAUAAGCAGAUGCAUUUGGGACGUAUGCAUUUCCUGGUAAUGUCAAUAUCGCAUUAAGCUAGUGGGUUUGGGCAGGGAAAGCCUGAAUCGGACAAGAAGCUGGCUUUUUUUUUUUUUAGGCUAUAAAUAACCAGACCAUGCCAGACACAUGUUCUUAGGCUAUGUUCUUAGGCUCAGGUGAUUGGAGUGCCCCCCCCCCCAUCCCCACCCUCAGGGCUUAGGGAGAAUGGAAGAUAAGGUGGAUGCUGUCACCUGUAUUAAUAGUUAGGGCUUGCAUACAUACAGUAAAGUUUCAAGAGUGAAACUUCAUCGACUGAACUCUUUAUGAAGUGACUGCCUGACUCUACACGCGAUGUUUUAGGAGUUGAAUUUUUACUUUCCCCCUGACACCUUUCUUUUUUGUAUCCUCAAGAAACAAAUUUCCGUACCGUAAGUUUACCUGGGACUACCAAAACAGUUCUGUUAGAUGACCGUGGAAUUCACCCCAAAUGUGCACAUAACCAAUAAGGGCGAGGCAGCCCCCUAGAGGGAGCUGUAGGUUGAUGAGCCAAGUGAUUUUAGGUAUGCAGUCUAAUUUCCAAACCUGUUUCCUCAGCUGCAAAACGAGAAUUCCUACAGCCAGAAAGUUGUGAGGGUUUGGGCGGGGGGCGGGGUUGGGGAAGUUGUUUUUGUUUUUUUGAGACAGGGAUUCUCUCUGUCGCCCAGGCUGGAGUGCAGUGGCGCGAUCUCGGCUCGCUGCAACCUCCGCCUCGCCGGCUCAAGCAUCCUCCCACCUCAGCCUGCAGAGUCGCUGGGACCACAGGUGUGCACGACUACGCUCGUCUAAUUUUUUGUAUUUUAAGGGUAAAGACAAGGUCUCACUAUGUUGCCCAGGCCUGUUUCUAACUCCUGGACUCAAGCAAUCCGCCCACCUCGGCCUCCCAAAGUGCUAUUAGAUCCAAUUUUGAUUUUCCUUGGCAUUCUGUUAAUUCAAACACAUGUAGGUUUAGAAGAGAUUUUCACCUAGAUUUUGGAGGAGAUGGACGUCCAUAAACGUACACUCUUUAGCACAAUUUGUUUGAAACUAAUUUGGAAAACAAAAUCUCUCAAUGAGCAGAAAUAGUCAUGGAACAUUUUUUGUUUGUUUUGCUUUUCUUCGUGAAUAAGCAUAUUUAAAAUAAGAUAAAGGGCUUGAGUUAGCAAAGAGACACCUUAUGGACCAUUGUCUUAGUGAUAAAUGAUGUGUGGGCUACUGCCCAGUCAGGCUUUCGAGAGGCCUAUCAGUCUCUAUGCAGAGGAGGAUAGCCACUCAGAAGCAGGUGGCUUCUGCCUUUCCUUUAAAAGUUAAGCUUAGGGAAAGAUAGUCCUGAACAUGUCAUUAGGGUCAGUAUGGUUCUUGCUGCCUCUAAGAAUUAGUAUAUGGGGCCAAAGCAGGGAGAUGAAAGAAUAUGUUCAAGGAAAAGUUCCAAAGACUGCACCAUAAUAUUCACUUUAUUCCACACAAUUUGCACAUUCAUUGUGACUGGCAUCAAUGAAAACCUUGUAGUCAGUGUAAUGUAUUAAAAAAUCACAUAUUGCAUUUUAGGAAAGAGUCCUUAUAAAACAACAACAACAACCUGUAGAUUUUGAACUCCAUAUGGAGCACAUUUUUUCAAUUAGAUGUUUUCUGAGAUGUCAGUGAGUCCGCCCCUACAGAGGAAAGAGGCUAACUUGACUGAAUUGGUAUGAACAGAUAAUACACUACCCACUACAUGAAGCUGCAGUCAUAGCUGAUAGGGUUGGUAGCACCUAUUGAGGUAAUCACCUCAAUACAUGCUUUUUAAAAGAGUGUAGAGAAGUUAGAAUGCAUUUAAUCAACCUACCAUACUGUAUGCCAAGUAACAGACUGCAAUCCAGAACAAGACAUGAUCUCAUUAACCUAGUUCUGCCCUUGCUGUCAGUGAAAAGAAUGACCCUCUUCCAGAUGCGGAAGAAACAUGUAAACUCAUGAGGCAAUUGCAUUAGUGCAUAGGUUUUGAGGAAAGAGGCUGAUACGGUUUGGCUGUGACCCCACCCAGAUCUCAUCUUGAAUUCCCACGUGUUGUGGGAGGGACCCGGUGGGAGGAAGUUGAGUCAAGGGGGCGAGUCUUUCCCAUGCUGUCCUCAUGAUAGUGGUAAGUCUCAUGAGAUCUGAUGGUUUUAUUAGGAGGAAUUUCCCUGCACAAGCUCUCAUUCUCUCUUGCCUGCCGCCAUGUAAGACAUGUCUUUGCUCCUGCUUCACCUUCUGCCAUGAUCAUGAGGCAUCCCCAGCCAUGUGGAACUGCCAGUAAAGGAAUAAAAAAGAUCCACCAAGACAGAGAAUUAAAGGAGAGACUCCAGCAUAUAAGAGGUCAACCAUUUAGGAAAACAGAAAGUGGAUACAGAAGUGGCAACUGACGUAGCGGAACAGAGAAAGCUGAAGGCUAAGUUCAAGAGGCGGGGGAAGCCAGCAAGAAACAAGCUGAUUCCUGUUGCAGAACUCUCAUCAGCUCAGCAAUAAGCACCACCUGGUUCUCUGAGGGUCUCACUUCACCCAGGCUGGAAUGCAGUGGUGUGAUCACAGCUCACUAUAGUCUCGAUCUCCUGGGCCUCCCACAUCAGCCUUAUCACUCAUUCUGGGGGCAGCCCUCUGGCAUGUAAUGAGCAGUCCUAUGGAGAGGCCCAUGUGACAGUAGCCAUGCGAGUGACACUGGAAGUGAAACCUGCAGCUCCAGUCAAGCCUUUAGAAGACUGCAGCCCUGGCUGACAGCUUGACAGCAAACUCAUGAGAGACUCUCAGCUUGAACAACUCAGCUAAACUGUUCCUGGGUUCCUGGUCCUCAAAAACUGUACGAGAUGAAAAAAAAGUUUGUUUUUUUAAGCUGCCAAGUUUUGGGAUAAUUUGUUAUUCUAAUAUAUUUUUUAAUACCUGGAAGUAAGGUGCUACCAUAAUAAAUACCUAAAAUGUAGGCACAGCUAGGAAACUAGACAGUGGAGGUAGCUGGAAAGAAUUUAAGAAGCAUAGCAGUGAAAGUCUCAGGAGCCUUGAACAAAACAUUAGAAAAACUUUGGACUUUGACCAGGCUGCUGGUGGAGGUUUAAAAGAAAGUGAGAAAAAUCUUGUUGAAAACAGAACAGGGAAUCCUUACUAUGGAGUGGCAUAAAUCUUAGCAAUAUUGUUGUCUGCAAUAAUGUGGGUGGUGGGAAUGUACCUGGUAAACUGGGUGAUCUAAUUUGCUAUUCAUAAAGACAUAAAGAUUCUCAGCUUUUACAGAUGGUGAAAAAUGCUAAAUUAAGAAAUGGCUGAAGGACAGAGGUCAAAUCCUGGGCACCAUCAUGAAAACAUAAUCCAAAGAUGAAGCUGAGAUGUGACUAUAAAUCCUUUGUUAUGACCUCAGAAAGAUCAAAAGUGGUGCCUCAGAGUACCAGUUUGGUCACACAAAGGCCCUCUAAAGUUUUUAAGGCUGUGACUCACAGAUUCUUUCAAAAACAGGGCUCCUGAGAAGCUUAAGAGCAUAGUUUUUCAGCAGAAUCACAAGGUGGGAAAGGGAUUAUCUCAAAAAGAUUUUUGGGCGUGACUUUUGUCUAAUGGAAUGGACCCCCAAAAAUUCAUAGGUGAUUCACAAAUUUUUUAAAAGAAUUAUAUUAGUAGAAACAUUGCCAACUAGAACUCAAAGGGAUAGAGACAGUAUGAAAUGAAAAAAGGCCUUGGUACUCACUUUGCCCCUGUUUCACUGCAGGUUAAGAAAAAAUUUCAGCUGCAUACAUGUACUAACUUUCAUGAAAAAGAAAGAAUAGCUAAGCAUGGUGACUCACUCCUGUAACCCCAGCACUUUGGGAGGACAAGGUGGGAAGACCACUUGAGCCCAGGAGUUUGAAUCAGCCUGGGCAACAUAGCAAGACUCUGUCUCUUUUUAAAAAAGGAUGACUCUGAAGGGGAAGCUAAAAGCCUCAGAGAAUAACUCAUGCGUAGAAAUAGGACUAAAUCCUAAGGCGAUUCCAACAUUUGCCUGGCUGGAUUUCAGAGCUGCUAUGGGGACAUAGUAGUGUGUCCAGUACCUUUCCUUUUUGAAUAUUAAUGCAUAUAGUGUUUAUUCCUGUUCCACCAUUGUGUGUUUGGGGUGUGUGUGUGUGUGUGUGUGUGUCUAUGUGUGUGCGUGUUAGUUUCAGAUUGAGAGGAAUUAUACCCAAGGAGCUAGAGUUAAGAAAUUAUACCUAAGGAACCUCUUGUGUACCUGGUCCUGAUUUAAAUGACAAGACUCUAGACUUUGAGUUGAUGCUGUAAUGAGACAAGAAUUUUAGAAAUGUUGAGAUGGAGUGGACGUGUUUUGCAUGUUGGAGGGACUUGAUUCACUGGAGCCUAGAAGGCAGACUAUGGUAGCCAGCCCUCAAGAUUGUCUCCUCCUGGUAUUCAUACCCUUGUAUAAUUCCCCUCCCACAUUGUACCAGAAUUUAUCUGUGUGACAGAAUAUGGCAGAAGUAAUGAUAUGUCACUUCUGAGAUUAGGUUAUAAAAGACAUUGUGGCUACCAUCUCUCAUCACUCACUCAAAGGGAAGCCAACCACCAUGCAAUGAGAAUCUCAGGUAAUGAGGACCUGAGACCUGUUGUCAAUCACGUGAAUAAGCUUGGGAGGAGAUUCUCCAGCCCCAGUCAAGCCUCAGAAGACUUCAGCCCUAGGUGACAGCUUGAUGAUAAUCUCGGGAGGCAGAACCACCCAACUAAGCCACUCCUGGAUUCCUGACCCUGACCCUGACCCUAGAAACAGUGUGAGCUGGAAUUCUGUGAAGCACAUGACCUCAAGUCUUUGGAUAAAUGGAAACGCAGCUUAUGCCGGAAAGAUGGAAGGCUGGCUGUACUAAUAUCAGAAAUGGAAGAGGAGAGACAUCACUAGAGAUCCCAUGGAUAUUGAAAGGAUAAUAAAGGAGUAUUAUGAGCAUUGUUAUAUUUUAUGUCUCCUAUAAGCUGUAAAUUCCUACAUAGCAAGAAUUCUGUCUUACUCAUCCUUUAACAACUACUGUGUACCUUAUAAUGUUUCAUAAAAUAUUAUGAUUUGGUUUUAUUAUUCACAAAAGAAUGCUAUAAGAGGUGAAAAAUGGAGAGGCUAGAAAGCAUAAAAACAAGUUACAUCAGGUGGUAGAGCCUGGUUUAAGGGUCAAAGAUAAAAGAAGGGAAGGUUAAGGGCAGGGCUUUAGAGGGAGAGAGGAUAAACACAGUUUGAUUAAAUGGCUGAUUCAGCCGGGUGUGGCGGCUCAUGCGUAUAAUCCCAACACUUUGAAAGGCUGAGGCAGGAGGAUUGCUUGAGCCUAGGAGUUCAAGACCAGCCUGGGCAACAUGGAGAAAUCCUAUCUCUACCAAAAUACAAAUACAAAAACAAAAAUUAGCCAGGUGUGGUUAUAUACACCUGUAGUCCCAGCUGCUUGGGAGGCAGAGGUGGGAGGAUUGGUUAGGUCUAGGAAGUUGAGGCUGCAGUGACCUAUGAUUGCUCCACUGCACUCUAGCCUUGGUGACACAGAGAGAUCCUGUCUCAAAACAAAAACAAACAACAACAACAAAAAACAUAUAUAUAUAUAUAUGAGGUUUAUCCACAGUAAAGUUCAGUCUAGGGUUAAUAAAAGAUUCUAGGGUUCACUAAGACAAAGAGUAGUCGCAGUAGCAGAGCCUUGGGUGAAGCUAAGGUCCCCAGGAGAUCUGGGAUGUCUGUGAGGAACAGUGAGGCUUAGUCAUUCAGACAAGCCAGCAGAAGUGAAGUUUAGAGAAUGUGGAUGGGCCUCAGGCUCUAGACAUCAAAACAAACAGAUAGAAAAGGCAGAGUGUAGAAUCCAGACAGUGAGGCUCACAACAAGGUAUGCAAUUCUGCAUAAGCAGAUUUGAGGGGACACCAACUAUGGACUGAUGUAGAUAAAUAUUUCUGGUAAUUCCAGUUAGUGAUUCACUCUGAACUCACAUAGGAUAGUAUCUCUUCAAAGGCACUUGUGUUGUAAUUAAAUGCACACAUAAGACAUAAUGCUUAUUGAGCCCUUAGCAUGUACCACCCACUCUUAUGCAUACUAUAUGUUUAAACCAUUUAAACUCACACCAACCCCCUGGGGGUAGGUAGUAUUAUUAUCCCUGUUACAGAUAAGGAAAGUGAGAAGUAGGAGUUAAUUGGUCUCAUGAUCCCCUACAGGCUGGCCUUCCAGAAAAAGGAGGUAACUUGCCCCAGGAUACCCUGGAAACCAAUCAGAAUGAAUUGCCUUAAACUCUGGCUUGUAGCCCAAAGCAAGGCUUGCCCACAAGUCUUGCCAGUAUGUGGUUGAACAGAAAUUAGAAUCCAGACAGCCUGAGUCCUUUUCUUGCCAGGCAGGGGCUGGGGCUUCCCCAACCAUGAAAGUUCAGGUGGUAGAUCCUGCCACUGCUUUGCACACCAGCUCCCUGGUGCUAACCUCAACUGCCAGUGCUGAGCUGGAAGGAUAGGGCUGGAGGCAAACUCCUACCCCAUCAUGUUGCUGGUGUAUUCCAUCCUGGUAUUGGUCACACCAAGGAAGGGCCUGGACUUUCCUAAUCAUGCAGCUUAAAAGCAACACAAGGCAAGGCGGGGAGUCCGCUCUCCUGAAGUCUGACAUCCAGGAAGACCAGAUUGCUAUGUGCUGUCUUUGACUUACUUGGAGACUCACACACCUACACUAGUGCCCCCUUAUCUGAGGGGGAUGCAUUCCAAGACCCCCAGUGGAUGCUUGAAACCAUAAAUAAUACCAAACCCUACAUAUACUAUGUUUUUUCAUAUAUAUACCUAUGAUAAAAUUUAAUUUAUAUAAUAGAUUAGGCAGAGACUAAUAACAAUAACUAAUAAUAAAAUAGAAGAAUUAUAACAACAUACUAUAAUAAAAGUUAACGUGAACAUUGUUUGUCUCAAAAUAUCUUAUUGUAUGUAAUAUUUUUGGACUGUGGUUGUUCAUAGCAAGUGAAAACUCAGAUGGGGGAGGGUGGCAUACUGUAUUUAUUUUCCUGUAUCCAUUAGUGUUUCCCAGUGAACACUGCACCAGGAGGUUGGCCAUUUGUCUUUAUUUAUACAUCAAACUAAGGCAUGGAGAAUAAGAGCUUGGUAAGGUCAUAUAGCCAGGAGGUGGUUGAACUGAGAUUCAAACUGAGACAGUCUGAGUCCAAAUUCUACCACCUCUUGUGUGUGACAUUUAAUGGAUAGGUGGGCUUUUGUAACCAGUGUCUCUGCCUUUCUCCAUGAUUCACAGCACAGAAACUUGUGCAUACAUUCUCACUUGAUAUCUGAAUGACUGUAACAGUGAUGUAAAUUAACAAGGAAGGGAGAUAGCCCUGAUUUAAUUGGAAAUCACUGACAGAGCUCGCCCAGUAAACUCUCUACAAACAGAAUACAAAUGUUUUGUAUUUAAUUGCUAAAGUGUUUUAAAAUUGAACUCAAAUUAAUAAAUACUUAUUGUAUCUGUCAGUUAAACGAAACAACCAAUAAACAACCAACUCUGUUUUCUAAUCAAGAGGGACUGAUCCUUUAAAAAAAAUAGGGUUUAAAAAAGAUGAUAUGAUCAAUGUAAAAUUGGAUUAUAGACUUUUAGAGUCUUAAAAGAUGAGAAAAGAGAUAAAGAUGAAUAGAUAUGGAGUAACUAGGAUAAGACUCUCUCACAAACUGGACCUUAAACAGAUUUAGGAAGAAAUAUAGGAUUAGGAUAGAGAAAAAGAAGAGAAAGAAUUGCCUAUAGGCAUAAUAAAAAGCACAAGUGUAUCAAUCAACACAGGGUAUUGUGGACCAGUGAGGAAGGAUCAUGAUCUAGACUAGGGGAUUCAUGUUGGAAACAGUGAGACAAGUUAGAAAGGAUAGGAUGGGACAUAUUAUAUGGUUCCAAACAUAAUAAAUGAGCACUUGAGCUAGAAAGUAGUAUAAUGUUCACAGGUGGUAAAGAGGUAUAAUGAAAAAACUAUACUUCACAAAAAUUAGUGGUGUUCAGUGGGUUGGAGAGAAGACCAAUUAGAAGGUUAUCUGUGGAAUUACAACAACCCAGUGAAUUGAGCUGAUGGAGAGAGAUGCUCCUCCCACUACCAACACUCAAACAUAAGGCAAAAAUAUUUAUAGGUGAUGAGUAAUGAUGAAAAAACAAAAGAACAAAUGAUAGAUGACAUGAAGAAUGGGAGUAGGGAAGACCAUAUUUAAGACUCUGAGGUCAUUAAAUGAUGUAACAUGUUUACUAGCCCAAAAAUAUAUACUAAAAGAGUAGAAAGAAAACAAAAAAUUUCCAAAUCAGUAGCAAGGAUCAAGAAAACAAUCCAAAUGGAAGGAAAGAACAAUGUCCCUUGGAACAUAACAAUAGAACAUAAUAUGAACAGUACCUCCUUCUAUGUAGUGUAGAUAUUAAACAUAGGGUGGGAAGUACACAUAUCAAUUUCAAAAUAGUGGUUUAAUCUGAAAUUGUUAAACAGAGAGGGAGGGAAGCAAUAGAACUGAGAGAGCGUUCAAAAGCCUUUUGUUGUAUCUGUAGAGUCUUUUAUUUCUUAAAAAUACAAUCGUAUACCACAUGAUAACAUUUUGGCCAAUGGACUACACAUAUGACAUGGUCCCAUAAGAUUAUAGUACUGUCUUUUUACUGUACCUUUUCUAUGUUUAGAUAUAUUUACAUAUACAAAUACCACUGUUAAAUUGCCUACAGUAUUCAGCACAGUAACAUGCUGUGCAGGAUUGUAGCCUAGGAGCAAUGGGCUACACCAUGUGGCCUAGGUGUGUCGUAGGCUCUACUAUUUUGGUUUGUAUAAGUACACUCUAUGAUGUUCACACAAUGAUGAAAUCACCUAACGAUGCAUUUCUCAGAAUAAGUUUCUGUUGUUAAGCAACCCAUGAUUGUAUCUGAAGCAAAUAUCUAUAUCUCCUUAUUAAACCUUAGGGUAAGUACAUAAAUUAGAGAAUAAGUAUAUUAUUCUCUAAUUUGCUAUUGUAUUAUAUAUAAUAUAUGUAUAUGUAUACUAUGUAUAUAUUAUACAUAGUAUACAUGU
This 9726-nucleotide long non-coding RNA is filed under the name Homo sapiens (human). RNAcentral describes it as "non-protein coding LINC01033:10". Lineage: Eukaryota; Metazoa; Chordata; Mammalia; Primates; Hominidae. The record is from RNAcentral.